GGCGCAUUCUUCUAACGGUUAGGAAAAUUGUUUCUCAGGCAAUGAAUAGCGGUUCGAUUCCGCUAUGCGCUACAA
RNAcentral lists this transfer RNA (75 nucleotides) under Bacteroidetes bacterium GWC1_47_7. Its description in RNAcentral is "tRNA-Glu". It matches the Rfam family "tRNA". From Rfam's summary of the family: Transfer RNA (tRNA) molecules are approximately 80 nucleotides in length. Their secondary structure includes four short double-helical elements and three loops (D, anti-codon, and T loops). Further hydrogen bonds mediate the characteristic L-shaped molecular structure. tRNAs have two regions of fundamental functional importance: the anti-codon, which is responsible for specific mRNA codon recognition, and the 3' end, to which the tRNAs corresponding amino acid is attached (by aminoacyl-tRNA synthetases). tRNAs cope with the degeneracy of the genetic code in two manners: having more than one tRNA (with a specific anti-codon) for a particular amino acid; and 'wobble' base-pairing, i.e. permitting non-standard base-pairing at the 3rd anti-codon position. The record is from RNAcentral. Lineage: Bacteria; Pseudomonadati; Bacteroidota. RNAcentral also lists the same sequence under 4 other names.